RNAcentral lists this ribosomal RNA (437 nucleotides) under bacterium enrichment culture clone ALO1_GLFRUDD03G1SK0. RNAcentral describes it as "bacterial SSU rRNA". It matches the Rfam family "Bacterial small subunit ribosomal RNA", at positions 9 to 433 of the family's 1533-position model. The record is from RNAcentral.
GAGUUUGAUCUUGGCUCAGAUUGAACGCUGGCGGCAUGCCUUACACAUGCAAGUCGAACGGCAGCACGGGAGCUUGCUCCUGGUGGCGAGUGGCGAACGGGUGAGUAACGCGUGGGCAACCUCCCCCUUAAACCGGGACAACCCUUGGAAACGAGGGCUAAUACCGGAUACGCUUUUCUGAGGACAUCCUCGGGAAAGGAAAGGCGGCCUCUGAAGAUGCUGCCGAUAAGGGAUGGACCCGCGUCUGAUUAGCUGGUUGGUGGGGUAAAGGCCUACCAAGGCGACGAUCAGUAGCCGGCCUGAGAGGGUGAACGGCCACACUGGGACUGAGACACGGCCCAGACUCCUACGGGAGGCAGCAGUGGGAAUCUUCCGCAAUGGACGAAAGUCUGACGGAGCAACGCCGCGUGUAUGACGAAGGCCUCGGUUGUAAGUAC